AUUGAACGCUGGCGGCAGGCCUAACACAUGCAAGUCGAGCGGAUGAAGGGAGCUUGCUCCUGGAUUCAGCGGCGGACGGGUGAGUAAUGCCUAGGAAUCUGCCUGGUAGUGGGGGAUAACGUCCGGAAACGGGCGCUAAUACCGCAUACGUCCUGAGGGAGAAAGUGGGGGAUCUUCGGACCUCACGCUAUCAGAUGAGCCUAGGUCGGAUUAGCUAGUUGGUGGGGUAAAGGCCUACCAAGCCGACGAUCCGUAACUGGUCUGAGAGGAUGAUCAGUCACACUGGAACUGAGACACGGUCCAGACUCCUACGGGAGGCAGCAGUGGGGAAUAUUGGACGAUGGGCGAAAGCCUGAUCCAGCCAUGCCGCGUGUGUGAAGAAGGUCUUCGGAUUGUAAAGCACUUUAAGUUGGGAGGAAGGGCAGUAAGUUAAUACCUUGCUGUUUUGACGUUACCAACAGAAUAAGCACCGGCUAACUUCGUG
RNAcentral lists this ribosomal RNA (484 nucleotides) under uncultured bacterium. Its description in RNAcentral is "partial 16S ribosomal RNA". It matches the Rfam family "Bacterial small subunit ribosomal RNA", at positions 30 to 507 of the family's 1533-position model. The record is from RNAcentral.